CUACGGGGGGUGCAAGCGUUAAUCGGAAUUACUGGGCGUAAAGCGCGCGUAGGCGGUUAAAUAAGUUGGAUGUGAAAUCCCCGGGCUCAACCUGGGAACUGUAUUCAAAACUGUUUAACUAGAGUAUGGUAGAGGGAAGUGGAAUUCCAGGUGUAGCGGUGAAAUGCGUAGAUAUCUGGAGGAACAUCAGUGGCGAAGGCGACUUCCUGGAUCAAUACUGACGCUGAGGUGCGAAAGCGUGGGUAGCAAACAGGAUUAGAUACCCCGGUAGUCC
RNAcentral lists this ribosomal RNA (274 nucleotides) under uncultured bacterium. Its description in RNAcentral is "partial 16S ribosomal RNA". It matches the Rfam family "Bacterial small subunit ribosomal RNA", at positions 523 to 796 of the family's 1533-position model. The record is from RNAcentral.